RNAcentral lists this ribosomal RNA (468 nucleotides) under uncultured bacterium. RNAcentral's name for it is "partial 16S ribosomal RNA". It matches the Rfam family "Bacterial small subunit ribosomal RNA", at positions 28 to 507 of the family's 1533-position model. The record is from RNAcentral.
GACGAACGCUGGCGGCGUGCUUAACACAUGCAAGUCGAACGGAAAGGCCCUGCUUUUGUGGGGUGCUUGAGUGGCGAACGGGUGAGUAACACGUGAGUAACCUGCCCUUGACUUUGAGAUAACUUCAGGAAACUGGGGCUAAUACCGGAUAGGAGCUCCUGCUGCAUGGUGGGGGUUGGAAAGUUUCGGCGGUUGGGGAUGGACUCGCGGCUUAUCAGCUUGUUGGUGGGGUAGUGGCUUACCAAGGCUUUGACGGGUAGCCGGCCUGAGAGGGUGACCGGCCACAUUGGGACUGAGAUACGGCCCAGACUCCUACGGGAGGCAGCAGUGGGGAAUAUUGCACAAUGGGCGGAAGCCUGAUGCAGCAACGCCGCGUGCGGGAUGACGGCCUUCGGGUUGUAAACCGCUUUCGCCUGUGACGAAGCGUGAGUGACGGUAAUGGGUAAAGAAGCACCGGCUAACUACGUG